This 261-nucleotide ribosomal RNA is filed under the name uncultured bacterium. RNAcentral describes it as "partial 16S ribosomal RNA". It matches the Rfam family "Bacterial small subunit ribosomal RNA", at positions 92 to 354 of the family's 1533-position model. The record is from RNAcentral.
UGAGUGGCGGACGGGUGAGUAACGCGUGGGCAACCUGGCCUGUACAGGGGGAUAACACUUAGAAAUAGGUGCUAAUACCGCAUAACGGGAGAAGCCGCAUGGCUUUUUCCUGAAAACUCCGGUGGUACAGGAUGGGCCCGCGUCUGAUUAGCCAGUUGGCAGGGUAACGGCCCACCAAGGCGACGAUCAGUAGCCGGCCUGAGAGGGUGGACGGCCACAUUGGGACUGAGACACGGCCCAAACUCCUACGGGAGGCAGCAG